GGCUUAUUGAUAAUAAUUUUAGGUCUAUCUGCCCAAUGAUUAAAAUUUAAUGGCUGCAGUAUAAUUAACUGUACAAAGGUAGCAUAAUCAAUUGUUUUUUAAUUGGAAACUAGAAUGAAAGAAUUAAUGAGAUAUAUACUGUCUCAUAUAUAUUUAAUGAAAUUAAAUUUUUAGUAAGAAUGCUGAAAUUUAUUUAUGGGACGAUAAGACCCUAUAGAAUUUUAUAUUUAUUUUUAAAUUUGGUUUAAUUUUAUAAAUAAAUAUUUAGUUGGGAGGACAAAUAAAUUAAAAUAACUUUAUUUUAAAUAUAACCUUUAAUUAAAGAAUAGUUUUUGAGCUUUUAUUAAAAAUUAUAAGAAAAAAUUACCUUAGGGAUAACAGCGUAAUAUCUUUUUAAAGAUCAAAUUAAUAAAGAUGAUUGCGACCUCGAUGUUGAAUUAAGAUAAAUUUUAAAUGAAGAAGUUUAAUGAUUAAGUCUGUUCGACUUUUAAAAUCUUACAUGAUUUGAGUUCAAAUCGACGUGAGU
RNAcentral lists this ribosomal RNA (526 nucleotides) under Bombus miniatus. RNAcentral describes it as "partial 16S ribosomal RNA". It matches the Rfam family "Bacterial large subunit ribosomal RNA", at positions 1827 to 2626 of the family's 2925-position model. Lineage: Eukaryota; Metazoa; Arthropoda; Insecta; Hymenoptera; Apidae. The record is from RNAcentral.